UACGGAGGGUGCAAGCGUUAGUCGGAAUUACUGGGCGUAAAGCGCACGCAGGCGGUCAAUUAAGUCAGAGGUGAAAGCCCCGAGCUUAACUUGGGAAUUGCAUCUGAAACUGGUUGGCUAGAGUCUUGUAGAGGGGAGUAGAAUUCCAAGUGUAGCGGUGAAAUGCGUAGAGAUGAGGAGGAAUACCAGUGGCGAAGGCGGCUCCCUGGGCCAAGACUGACGCUCAGGUGCGAAAGCGUGGGGAGCAAACAGG
This 253-nucleotide ribosomal RNA is filed under the name uncultured bacterium. RNAcentral describes it as "partial 16S ribosomal RNA". It matches the Rfam family "Bacterial small subunit ribosomal RNA", at positions 524 to 776 of the family's 1533-position model. The record is from RNAcentral.